UGCCAGCCGCCGCGGUAACACGGGGGGCGCAAGCGUUGUUCGGAUUUACUGGGCGUAAAGAGUACGUAGGCGGCGGGGUAAGUCAGAUGUGAAAGCCCGGGGCUCAACCUCGGAACUGCAUCCGAUACUGCCUUGCUAGAGUAAUGGAGGGGCAUCUGGAAUUCACGGUGUAGCAGUGAAAUGCGUAGAUAUCGUGAGGAACACUAGUGGCGAAGGCGAGAUGCUGGACAUUUACUGACGCUGAGGUACGAAGGCUGGGGGAGCGAAAAGGAUUAGAUA
Molecule: ribosomal RNA, 279 nt
Filed under: uncultured bacterium
Lineage: Bacteria
Description: partial 16S ribosomal RNA
Rfam family: Bacterial small subunit ribosomal RNA
Source: RNAcentral